AUGCUCACUUUGGCAGCACAUAUACUAAAAUUGGAACAAUACAGAGAAGACUAGCAUGGUUCUUGUAUAAGGAUGAUAUGCAAAUUAAUGAAGUAUUUAAUAUUUUU
Small nuclear RNA from Arvicola amphibius (Eurasian water vole), 107 nucleotides. The record is from RefSeq and is a predicted model, not a curated record. Lineage: Eukaryota; Metazoa; Chordata; Mammalia; Rodentia; Cricetidae.